GUGGGCCAAAGGAGGGGCGAGGCUGAGCCCGAAGCGUGGAGGUGACGCCCGUUUAGCUGGGCCGGGAGGGCCUUGGAGUAUCUGCAACCCAUGGACUUCAGGUUGGCCAAGUCUGGAACUAAACAUAAGAAAACCAAGCAAGAGGAAUCAAAUUUGGGACCUUGCACUUGCCAGGGAGGCAGCGGAACCACUGAGCUAAAUCCCCAGCCUUCAACCUGGAUUCUAUAGUUUGAAGAUACUAUACCUACUGAGAGACUUGGACUUAAAUUCUGGCUUACCCAUACAGCUCUAUGUGGAUCAUGGAGAUAAUUCUUUAGCAUCUCUGAGCCUUAAAAUGGGCAUAGAAAUUCCCACAUAAGGGUUGACAUCAAGAGAGAACUGAUAGUACAAUAAAUAUUAUUAUGGCUCAAAUCUAAAAUGUCCCCAAUAAGUAUCAUGUGUUGGGAGGUUGGGCCUGACUGGAAGAGGCAGGUCACUGAGAGUAUGACCUGGAAGGGUGUAUUCUUGCCCUUGGCACCUCCUUUCUUGCUGUGCUUCCUGGCUGCCAUGAUGUGAGUAGCUUUCCUCUACUAGACCCUUCUACUGUGCUAUUCCUGUUCUGGAGCUGGCCAGCCAUGGACUGAACUCACUGAAACGUGAGCCAAUUAUGAGCCUCUCCUAUUUUUAGUGUGAGUGUCAGAUAUUUUGUCCCAGUGAUAGGAAAGUGACUAAUACAGGAAAUUGAUACUAGGAGUGUGGAUGUUGCUAUUACUAUACCUAGCCAUGUGGUUUAAAAGCCUUUGGAACUGGAUUUUAGGAGGGGUAGGAAAAAUUUGGAGAUGCCAGCUAGAGAAGCCCUAGAAUGCUUAUGCCAAGUUUGAUGGUAAUUCUGGUUGGAGCUCAGAAGACCAGAAUGUAGAUAGAAAGGCAAACAAUGACCAGUUGGGAAUGAAGACUACUGGAAACUGGAUUGGAGGUAAUGUGUGUUUGACUUUUCCUAUAUUUUGCCUACAUCCUAAGAUUUCAUGUGAGGCUGAAUUUAAAGGUAAUGAACUAAUUAAUCUUUUGGAGGUAAUUUCAAGGGUGACCAACAUUCAGGCUGUGGCAUGGGUACUGCUUUUAGGUCUACAGUGAAACUCAGGAGCAAUGAGUAGAGCCAAAAUAUGUGGAAAAUUUUGCUGGUGGUCAGAAAAGAAGCAUGUGUAGUUGCGUCCAAAGGAUUUGUGGAUGCUGAAAGGUUUAUCACUAUUAAAAAACCCAAGUACUUUGUACAGAAACAAGAAGGAAGGUGCCUUGGUGGCAUCUCAGAAGUCAGCAAGACCAUACCCAUCUCAAGUUCAGGGGUACAAAACUAUAAAUAUUUCAUUUGAGAAGAGAGUUAUUGGGAUGCCUGCUCAUUCAGGGCUGUAUGAGAAAGUGUGUUCGGUCAUCCAGACACUCAGAUACUGAUAUAAAUAUGGUCCAAGGGAGCCUGUCUAUGUUCAAGCUGGAAGCUGACCAUGGCAUCAUCCAGGUGGUGCUGGUUUUUCAAGCAUGCAAAAUGCAAGAGUUAUGAGGUCAUGAAGAAUCCACUCAGCCUUCAGAAGAAGGCCUGGGAAGCCAGAAAAAUGUGUGAUGGGGACACAUUCCCCGCUAUGAGCCCACUUGUUAUGGCUUGUGUUUAGAUGUCCCCCCAAAGCCUCAUGCUUUUCCGGAGGUGGUUGAAUAUAGAAUGUGUGGUUGAUUCAUGGUGGGGCUAGGCCUGAAGGCACUGGGAUUAAAGGCAUAAGUACUACCUGCCCCAAGUAGUCUGAAUAAGAUAAAAGGGACAGGAAGCUGGUAGGGCUCUUGUGUUGCUUUUGGUGCCUUCCUCCACCAUGAACUAUUGCUCUUCUGCCACCCUGCCUUGGAGCCAGCCAAUUACGGACUGAAACCUCUAUGAACUGUAAGCCAAAUAAAGCUUUCCUCAUUUAACUUUGGUGUUGGAUAUUUUGUCUCAACAAUGAGAGAAAAAUAACUAACACACCAUUGGAGGGCAAUGAAUGAAGCUGCCAGAGUGAAGCUGAAAGGUGCAGUGGAGACCCCAGGAAGUUGCCAAUGCCAGAAACAUGGAAUGUCUACUGAGGAAAACCACAUGGAUCAAGCCAAGAGAAAAGCCACGUGGGCUGCUACCAGCAAGGCCAUAGGAGCAGGGCUGCCUGCACCCUGUGGAGUUCACAUCUCCCCCAAACCUGUCCUUGUUGCUGGACUUGUAACUACAAGAUUUAAUAUUUGCCCUGCUGGUUUUCAGUCUUGUUUUAGUGCUACUACUUUCUAUUCCCCUAUUUCUUCCUUUUAGAAUGGGAAUGUUUUCCCUUUGCCAUUGUAUAUUAGAA
This is a non-coding RNA of Heterocephalus glaber (naked mole-rat), 2333 nucleotides long. The record is from RefSeq and is a predicted model, not a curated record. NCBI's taxonomy places the organism in Eukaryota, Metazoa, Chordata, Mammalia, Rodentia, Bathyergidae.